GAUGAACGCUAGCUACAGGCUUAACACAUGCAAGUCGAGGGGUAACGAGAGGAAAGCUUGCUUUCCUUGUCGACGACCGGCGCACGGGUGAGUAACGCGUAUCCAACCUGCCCCCAACUAAGGAAUAACCUUGCGAAAGUAAGACUAAUACCUUAUAAUUUCCUCAGAUGUCAUCUGACGAGGAAUAAAGAUUUAUCGGUUGUGGAUGGGGAUGCGUCUGAUUAGCUUGUUGGCGGGGUAACGGCCCACCAAGGCAACGAUCAGUAGGGGUUCUAGGAGGAAGUUCCCCCACAUUGGAACUGAGACACGGUCCAAACUCCUACGGGAGGCAGCAGUGAGGAAUAUUGGUCAAUGGGCGGAAGCCUGAACCAGCCAAGUAGCGUGCAGGAUGACGGCCCUAUGGGUUGUAAACUGCUUUUAUACAGGAAUAAAGUUAGCCACGUGUGGUUAUUUGUAGGUACUGUAUGAAUAAGGACCGGCUAAUUCCGUGCCAGCAGCCGCCGUAA
Molecule: ribosomal RNA, 506 nt
Filed under: uncultured bacterium
Lineage: Bacteria
Description: partial 16S ribosomal RNA
Rfam family: Bacterial small subunit ribosomal RNA
Source: RNAcentral